This 465-nucleotide ribosomal RNA is filed under the name uncultured bacterium. Its description in RNAcentral is "bacterial SSU rRNA". It matches the Rfam family "Bacterial small subunit ribosomal RNA", at positions 330 to 792 of the family's 1533-position model. The record is from RNAcentral.
GCCAGACUCCUACGGGAGGCAGCAGUGAGGAAUAUUGGUCAAUGGUCGGGAGACUGAACCAGCCAAGCCGCGUGAGGGAUGAAGGUACAGAGUAUCGUAAACCUCUUUUGUCAGGGAACAAAGGCGGGGACGUGUCCCCGGAUGAGUGUACCUGAAGAAAAAGCAUCGGCUAACUCCGUGCCAGCAGCCGCGGUAAUACGUAGGUGGCGAGCGUUAUCCGGAAUGAUUGGGCGUAAAGGGUGCGCAGGCGGUCCUGCAAGUCUGGAGUGAAACGUAUGAGCUCAACUCAUGCAUGGCUCUGGAAACUGGAGGACUGGAGAGCAGGAGAGGGCGGUGGAACUCCAUGUGUAGCGGUAAAAUGCGUAGAUAUAGGGAAGAACACCAGUGGCGAAGGCGGCCGCCUGGCCUGUUGCUGACGCUGAGGCACGAAAGCGUGGGGAGCAAAUAGGAUUAGAUCCCCGCUUA